This 279-nucleotide ribosomal RNA is filed under the name uncultured bacterium. Its description in RNAcentral is "partial 16S ribosomal RNA". It matches the Rfam family "Bacterial small subunit ribosomal RNA", at positions 506 to 784 of the family's 1533-position model. The record is from RNAcentral.
UGCCAGCCGCCGCGGUAAUACGGAGGGUGCAAGCGUUGUUCGGAAUUAUUGGGCGUAGAGCGCGUGUAGGCGAUUCGUUAAGUCUGAUGUGAAAGCCCGGGGCUCAACCCCGGAAGUGCAUUGGAAACUGGCGAACUUGAAUGUUGGAGAGGGAAGUGGAAUUUCCAGUGUAGCGGUGAAAUGCGUAGAUAUCGGAAGGAACACCAGUGGCGAAGGCGGCUUCCUGGCCAAACAUUGACGCUGAGGUGCGAAAGCGUGGGGAGCGAACAGGAUUAGAUA